This 274-nucleotide ribosomal RNA is filed under the name uncultured bacterium. RNAcentral's name for it is "partial 16S ribosomal RNA". It matches the Rfam family "Bacterial small subunit ribosomal RNA", at positions 644 to 916 of the family's 1533-position model. The record is from RNAcentral.
GAGUUUGGGAGAGGGAUGUGGAAUUCCAGGUGUAGCGGUGAAAUGCGUAGAUAUCUGGAGGAACACCGGUGGCGAAGGCGGCAUCCUGGACCGGUAUUGACGCUGAGGCGCGAAAGCCAGGGGAGCAAACGGGAUUAGAUACCCCGGUAGUCCUGGCCCUAAACGAUGAAUGCUUGGUGUGGCGGGUAUCGAUCCCUGCCGUGCCGAAGUUAACGCAUUAAGCAUUCCGCCUGGGGAGUACGGUCGCAAGGCUGAAACUCAAAUGAAUUGACGG